CCUAAGUUUAUAUUUACCGGUAUCUAGAGUAUCUCUAGAGAGGGUAGAUCUUUUUUUUCUCCCUUUCAGAUUCGGUCUAGUCCACUUUUGAGAUAAUCUGAAUAUUUAUAAAUCUAGACUUACUCUAGUUUGAUUUUGAUGGUUGUACUGAUCCAAUCCAUAAAUUUCAUAAUAUUUUAGGCUCAAUCAUCUAAACAGACCUUUAGUUUUAUUUCAAUUUAUCGGUAUUGAAGGAUGAAGGAUCAUCGCCAAC
RNAcentral lists this long non-coding RNA (253 nucleotides) under Elaeis guineensis (African oil palm). RNAcentral's name for it is "long non-coding RNA (EGUI_LNC003531)". Lineage: Eukaryota; Viridiplantae; Streptophyta; Magnoliopsida; Arecales; Arecaceae. The record is from RNAcentral.